RNAcentral lists this ribosomal RNA (253 nucleotides) under uncultured bacterium. RNAcentral describes it as "partial 16S ribosomal RNA". It matches the Rfam family "Bacterial small subunit ribosomal RNA", at positions 524 to 776 of the family's 1533-position model. The record is from RNAcentral.
UACGAAGGGGGCUAGCGUUGCUCGGAAUCACUGGGCGUAAAGGGUGCGUAGGCGGGUUUUUAAGUCAGGGGUGAAAUCCUGGAGCUCAACUCCAGAACUGCCUUUGAUACUGGAGAGCUCGAGUCCGGAAGAGGUGAGUGGAACUCCGAGUGUAGAGGUGAAAUUCGUAGAUAUUCGGAAGAACACCAGUGGCGAAGGCGGCUCACUGGUCCGGUACUGACGCUGAGGUGCGAAAGCGUGGGGAGCAAACAGG